GGAUGUGAGGGUGAUCUGGCUGUGACAGCUGUCACCAGAUUGAUCACCAGGAUUGAUUCGGCUGAUCUGGCUGGCUCAGCGGGCAUCCCCUUCCUCCCUCACCACUCCAUGUGCAACCCUCCCAAAGCUACACUCUCAAAAUAGAGACGGACAGGUCUUUGGUUGAGGGUAUAGAAGUAGCUGCCCUCCCCAGCUAGAACCUCCAAACAAGCUCUCAGAAUAGACCUGGAGCUUGUGCUGGCUUCAGACUUCACCAUGUCUUGGUAUGUUUCU
This 273-nucleotide small nuclear RNA is filed under the name Erinaceus europaeus (western European hedgehog). RNAcentral's name for it is "7SK RNA". It matches the Rfam family "7SK RNA". Rfam says of the family: 7SK was discovered as an abundant small nuclear RNA in the mid-70s but a possible function has only recently been suggested. Lineage: Eukaryota; Metazoa; Chordata; Mammalia; Eulipotyphla; Erinaceidae. The record is from Rfam by way of RNAcentral.